CUGGGACUCAGCACUGGAGAAUUUGUUUUCAUCAUUUUGCAGCAGUUGGAGGACCGUUUUUGGAAGGAAGUACUGACAAAUCAGAAAAUGAUGCACCUCCAAAAGGUGUAUGGGUCACUGCUUCUCAUUGCCCUCAGCUCCUACAGAAAAGGCCGUGGAGACGAAGGCUUUUGGAAACAAGUCUACCAAACACCGAGGAGGUCGCCCUUCCGCAGCACCAUCUCCUGGGAGGAGCAGGUGAGCCCUUACUCUGCCUACCUUCACGACGCCGUCCUGCUCUAUGCUGAGACCGUGAAGCAGGUGGUAAAGGCUGGAGGCGACUUCCAGGAUGGGUGGCAGCUGGUCAGCGCUCUGAAGGGUUCCAGUCAGACCACAGUGCAGGACCCACAGGGAAUUUCUCCAAUAUGACCUGGCCGCAUGGCUCCCUUCCUGAAGACAGACCUGGCUGUGGAUUUUAUAAUGAGCUCUGUGAAACUCAGUCUGCUUUUACGGGCGUGACUGCUGUGCUUCUGACAUUGAUGAUCCUCAUUCCUGUCUUGGGAGCUGCCAUCAUAGGUCUGAUUUUAAGGAUGCAGAGGCAAAACAAAGACAUCUGGUGGCAAAUCAAUUUUGAUGAUAUCACCAUUCUUCCCCAGAACAAGGGACUUGACCAUUAACUACAGGCCAAGCAUCAUACAAGCCAUCCCAGAGAGCCACACCUGUGUCAAAAGGCAUCAACAGUAACUCAUCUAGUGUGAUGAUUUCUGUGGACCUCAGCUCUUUUGUCAAGAGCCAGCAGUGGGAAGAGCUCUUCUAUGCCGCAGUAGGGCUUUAUCAGGGAAACCAUGUGGCCAUCCGUUACGUUGGUGACCAAGCAGAAGCCUGGGUUAGGAAGCCGAUUGUGCUACAGGAAAUACAGCUGGGCAUGCUGUUCCUCCACAGGAGCCCCCUGGGCUCCCACAGCAACCUGAAACCUUCCAACUGCCUGAUGGAUGGUCGGCUGCAGGUGAAGCUGUCGUGAUUCGGGCUGUGGGAACUCAAGCAUGGCUAAAAAUACAGAACAUAUGAUGAGACAGUGACCAACCACUCAGAGCUCUACUGGACUGCCCCAGAGCUGCUGCAGUUCCCGGAGAUGCCCUGGUCGGGUACCCCGCAAGGAGAUGUUUACAGCUUCGCCAUUCUGAUGAGGGAGCUGAUCUACCAUUGGGACCACGGGCCUUUUGAUGACCUCCACGAGGCACCGGAUGAAAUCAUCAACCAAAUCAAAGACCCUGCAGCAGCAGUCCCACUGCAACCUUCCCUGCCCGAGGAGAAGGGCAAUGAAAAGAUCGUGGCCAUGGUGAGGGUGUGUUGGGAUGAAUCUCUGGAGAAAAGACCCAGUUUCUCUUCCAUCAAGAAAACUUUACGAGAGGCCAGUCCCAGAGGUCAUGUGAGCAUACUGGCCAGUGUGAUGAGCAAGCUGGAAGUGUAUGCCAAUUACCUGGAGGAAGUGGUGCAAGAGAGGACCAGCCAGCUGACUGCAGAGAAGAGGAAGGUGGAGAAGCUUCUGUCCACCAAAGUGCCCAGCUUCACUGGAGAACAACUACUAGCCGGAAGGUCCGUGGAACCAGAACAUUUCGAAUCUGUGACAAUCUUUUUAUCUGAUAUUGUUGGAUUCACAAAGCUGUGUUCUCUCAGCUCCCCUUUGCAAGUCGUCAAGCUCCUCAAUGACGUGUACAGUUUAUUCGAUCACAUCAUCACAACUUAUGAUGUUUAUAAGGUUGAGACCAUUGGAGAUGCAUACAUGGUGGCUAGUGGACUCCCUACCACAAUGGAAGCCAGCAUGUGGCUGAGAUUGCCACCAUGUCCCUGCACUUCCUCAGUGCCACCAUCUGCUUCCAAAUUGGGCACAUGCCCCAGGAGAAGCUCCAGCUUCGUAUUGGCCUCUACACAGGUCCUGUGGUGGCUGGUGUGCUGGGGAUUACCAUGUCCAGAUACUGUCUAUUUGGAGACACUGUCAACAUGGCAUCCAGAAUGGAGAGCAGCAGUUCACCUCUCCGGAUUCAUGUCUCUCAGAGCACUGCAAGCACCCUGGUGGCAUUGGGAGGGUACGAUUUGCUAAAGAGAGGCACCAUUCCAGUCAAGGGCAAAGGAGAGCAAACAACUUUCUGGUUGAAAGAUAAAGAAGGCUUCACUCUUCCACUCCCG
This is a long non-coding RNA of Homo sapiens (human), 2166 nucleotides long. Lineage: Eukaryota; Metazoa; Chordata; Mammalia; Primates; Hominidae. The record is from Ensembl.